AAGAAAUCUGUGCUAAACAGACACAUUGGGUUUUGUGGGGGCAGGAGUGGAGUUGUAGAGAAGAGCCGCCUUGUUUCCAAUCCAGGAAGUUGGCCCUCAAUCCUCCUGCGAUGAGAAAUGAGAGAACAUUCUUCUCACCUUCUACUUGGUGAGAAAGAAGAUUUGCCAGAAAACAGGCACCGCCUCAGAUUAUGCCAUGACUUUUCCUGCCUAGUGAAAAUCUAUAUCCCUGUCAGCAGAGUUGCAUCCUUGGAAGGAAGAUUCAUAAAGGCAGCCAUCUGUCAGGGAAAUAGAUGUCCUGUGUUUACGCUGAGACUGGCUCUGCUCAGACUUGCCCUUGGAAGGUGCCCAGUCUGGAGUGCACUGCAGUUUGCUCUUGUUGGCGGCAAUCACUUUGCCUUUCACGGGAAUUUAAGAGUCAAGACCUGGCAUGAUAAACUCGUAUGACUCAAGGGUCAUCUUGACUGAGUUUGAAUCCUAGUCCUGCCACUUAUUAUUAUGAUGGAUUUGUCUAUUAUUUAGCCUUUCUAAGCCUCAGUUUGCUCUUAUGUUAAAUCAAUACCAGAAUGCCAAUGUGUUAGAAUGAUUUCUAGAGUUUGAUGAUACACUGUAGGUGAAGUGACUAUCAUCUCACCUAACAAAUAGUUCUCACUCAUUAAAUGUCACUUACCCCCAGCCGUUCUGGUGAUGCCAGUGCUGGACAGGAUCAUGUGCAUGAAGGGAAGAUAACACCGCUACAGUCACCUCAAGCUCCAGGAAAACAGGAAGCAGUUGGAAAAUAAGGUCUUCCCAGGCCCUCCUUCUGCCAACUCACAGAACCAGGGCCUUGGGGAUCCAUAAGGCUCAGAGAUGAGGACAAUUCAUCAUUUUGCACCAGCUCUUCCACUGGUUUAAACCAGUACAGGCUGGUUGAAAAAUUCUCCACAUGGCAGGAUUAGCUCUCAUGAGACCAGAUCACUUGGCAGAGCUUCCUGGAUAUCAGACCACUGUAUUUACCUUAAGAAAAUCCUUCAAAUCUGCUAAUUACAGAGAGUCCUCAUUGCCACACCAAUGUAUUAUAUCGGCUGUCAGAAAGAUGUUCUACAGGGAGAAUACAGCUUUAAAUUCUGGGUUGUCGAGAUUAAACAUUAACUCCUUUACAUGGACACAUGGGAUCCAAACUGAGAAAGGAAAUUAAGAAGUUGAGAAGAUUCUGGAAAAUAAAGAAAUGCAGCAAGUUUAAAAUAUCUGGCACCAAAUCAGAAGGGAGAAGUUCAUCUGAUGUGCUUUGAGAAACCUGGCCCCUAUAAACAACUGAUUUGAUGUUUAUUUACAGCAAAUGGAUCGACUAAAGUCUGAGUUUUAGUUGCAUCAACAGGAUCCAAUAGGUGUGGAAUUUCAAAGUGAUGUGCCAGACUGCAGAGUGGACAUGUCUCAGGAGGUGUUCUAGGAUGAUGAGAGAACUCUCGAGUUCACAAGGAAGGUAGAAACAGGUCGAGCAGUGAGAAGCUCAACUGUGGAUUGUGAAGAGUUGCUGUUUAUGCUCUUAGGUCCACCCUGCUAAGAAUGAGGCGAGUGUACCCCCUUUCAUCCAAAGCUGAGUGACAGGCAACCUCAAAGAAACCACUCCUUGCAGUUAUGACACUCAGUAGAGAAAGUGUCUGACACAGGCUUGGGUUAUCUUAAAAAAAGAGAUGGUAGCUAGUGGCCUGAAGCAUCAGGGGAGAGAGGAGAGAGAGAAUGAAUUGGAACGUCAAUGCAAACUUCACUAUAACCAAAAAACAAAAACAGCAUCUUAAAGAAUGGAUGAAAAUCUUGUGUCCAGUUUUAUGCUUUUAUGAAUAAUGUACUAUGAAUAUUAAAUAAAGUAUCAAUUUUAUUUAUAAAAAAGAAUGAAUGAAUUUUUCCCAUGCAUUUUUCCAAGGUCCAGAGUUGAGUGCAUAAGCUGACUUGUCCUUUUAAACCUUGCCCAUUACAGUGCUUGAAAUAAUGGCGGGGGUUCCAACAGUGAGAAUUCUGUGUGAAAUGAAUCCAGGAGAACAAAAUAGCCUAAGUUGGAGCAUAUGCCUGAUGAGGGAGGUGUGCACUGCCCAGCUGGAGUGGCUCAGUGGAUGGAGCAUCUG
Molecule: non-coding RNA, 2102 nt
Organism: Microcebus murinus (gray mouse lemur)
Lineage: Eukaryota; Metazoa; Chordata; Mammalia; Primates; Cheirogaleidae
Source: RefSeq, a predicted model, not a curated record